Klebsiella pneumoniae IS43 is the source of this 99-nucleotide non-coding RNA. The record is from Rfam. Lineage: Bacteria; Pseudomonadati; Pseudomonadota; Gammaproteobacteria; Enterobacterales; Enterobacteriaceae.
CUUUAAAAAUCUGGAUCAAGCUGAAAAUUGAAACGACACACUGUUUAAGUGUGUUCGAGUCUCUCAAAUUUUUCGCAAUCAGAAGUGAAACAUCUUCGG